This 85-nucleotide transfer RNA is filed under the name Felis catus (domestic cat). It matches the Rfam family "tRNA". From Rfam's summary of the family: Transfer RNA (tRNA) molecules are approximately 80 nucleotides in length. Their secondary structure includes four short double-helical elements and three loops (D, anti-codon, and T loops). Further hydrogen bonds mediate the characteristic L-shaped molecular structure. tRNAs have two regions of fundamental functional importance: the anti-codon, which is responsible for specific mRNA codon recognition, and the 3' end, to which the tRNAs corresponding amino acid is attached (by aminoacyl-tRNA synthetases). tRNAs cope with the degeneracy of the genetic code in two manners: having more than one tRNA (with a specific anti-codon) for a particular amino acid; and 'wobble' base-pairing, i.e. permitting non-standard base-pairing at the 3rd anti-codon position. The record is from Rfam by way of RNAcentral. Lineage: Eukaryota; Metazoa; Chordata; Mammalia; Carnivora; Felidae.
ACCUGGCUGGCUCAGUCAGUUAAGCGUCUGACUUCAGCUCAGAUCAUGAUCUCACGGUUCGUGGGUUCAAGCCCCGUGUCAGGUU